Molecule: ribosomal RNA, 379 nt
Filed under: uncultured eukaryote
Lineage: Eukaryota
Description: partial 18S ribosomal RNA
Rfam family: Eukaryotic small subunit ribosomal RNA
Source: RNAcentral
CAAUAGCGUAUAUUAAAGUUGUUGCGGUUAAAAAGCUCGUAGUUGGAUUUCUGCCGAGGACGAUCGGUCCGCCCUCUGGGUGAGUAUCUGGUUCGGCCUUGGCAUCUUCUUGGAGAACGUUACUGCACUUGAUUGUGUGGUGCGGUAUCCAGGACUUUUACUUUGAGGAAAUUAGAGUGUUUCAAGCAGGCACACGCCUUGAAUACAUUAGCAUGGAAUAAUAAGAUAGGACGUUGGUUCUAUUUUGUUGGUUUCUAGAGCUGACGUAAUGAUUAAUAGGGAUAGUUGGGGGCAUUCGUAUUUAACUGUCAGAGGUGAAAUUCUUGGAUUUGUUAAAGACGAACUACUGCGAAAGCAUUUGCCAAGGAUGUUUUCAUUG